RNAcentral lists this long non-coding RNA (439 nucleotides) under Malus domestica (apple). Its description in RNAcentral is "long non-coding RNA (MDOM_LNC020325)". The record is from RNAcentral. Lineage: Eukaryota; Viridiplantae; Streptophyta; Magnoliopsida; Rosales; Rosaceae.
ACACGUUCCAAGAUCACAUACGUAAAAAAUCGUAAAAAACAAACAUUCAGAGAUUACGUAAUGGAAUAAAAGUUUUCGACGGUUAUAAACGAAAAAUCACAAUUUAACGGUUAUUUUAUCUCUGAUUUUGAUGAUUUUUUACAGAUACACUCUUCGAACCUAUAAGAAUGUAAUGAAUAAAUUUGAUCUUUAAUUUAAAGUAUUUACACUAGUGGAUACCACAAAAACUUAUUUUAUACUUAAUAGAAAGUAUAAUAUUAACUCUAAGUGUUUGUUUAAUGUACUGUUUUGACACAAUAUGCAUUCUACAAAACUUUUUUCUACGAUCCAACCGUCAAACUUAUUUGUACACAUUUCGAGAUCGCAUACGUAAAAAAUCAUAAAAAACAAACAUUCAGAAAUUACGUAACGGUACAAAAGUUUUCGACGGUUAUAAACG